CAGAGCGCGGCCGUUGAACAAGGAACAACCCGGAACGUUGUCGCUCGCCCGUAGACGGCCGCAACGGAUUUGGAUUUCGAACCAACCUCGCGUAUCGAUAUCGAAAACGACGUCGUUAAAACGGUAUCGACGCUGCGUUCACGGUUAGGUUAACGCACGCCGGAACUUCCCUUAUCCGAAUUACGUAAUUCGGGGACACGGAUAAGAGCAGCGUUACGCGCGGUACGUUCACCUCUUCGACUCGAGCGUGGAAAUAUCAGGAUCGGGACGCGAUCGAUAACGAUUCGGAGAGUCGGUCGCGGCUGUAAUCGCUCGAUUCGCGACGACCGGGGGCCGAAACGUUCUCGACGAUUCCCGAGGCUGGCCGCGGACCGCUUCCGGUUCGCAGGAUCAAACGAAAGCGCCGCGUCUCCGCGAUCCUGCGAAAAAAUCAUCGGCGACGCUCGGCGGAAUUUCGAAGGAACGGGUCCGCGAGACGCAGCAACGCGAGGGGUCAACGUUAGGCGUGCUCGCCCGCCGAAGGAAAGGAAAAUGGCGACCACAUCGCGCGCUCCCUUUGAACAGAAGGAGGCUCUAACAAGUUGCUCUUGCCCGCGGUUGCGUUCGAGGAGGCGGAAAGUUGCCCGGCCGUUGGAUCGAAAUCGCCGGCGAGGAUCAUGAAGGUUUUUGCAUCAAAAUAAUCAGAGGAACAGCUUGGACGAUAGCGCGCUAAAACGGAACGUUACAAAUUUUAGGUAGACGUCGGCGACCAUUGCGCGAAGCUUGAUAUGGCGGCGCCGAAGUGACUGUAUUCGUCUUAUCCUUCGAAGAGGAGAACGAUUCGGGAGAUUUCGAAAUAACAGAAAUACAGGCGUCUUAGGAAGGAGAGCGAAGGAGAGGCGAAGGAGGGCGAAAGAGAGCGGAGGAAAGCCGACGAGCAACAGGUUGCCACGAUCUUGGGCCACCGGGUGGGGGGAAAACGAGAAGAGAACCCUCCGGAGAGACGGAGAAACUGAAAACGGGCGACCAAGUGGGAAAGCGAUCGUCGUCGGGAUUUCGUUGGAAUAUCCGUGAAGCGAAAUGCUUAGCGGUACGCAAGAGCAGCCGACGCGCGACGGUGUCGCGACAGAGGGACCGGAUUGGUCGGUCACCUGUUGCCUGCCAGCCGUGAUUGGUUGGCCUCGACGCCGCGUAACGACUGCCGGAGGAGGACAAGUGCAUCAUCCGCUUGGUCUACGAUGGACCAAGGAUCGAGAAUGGACAUCGCGCGGAUGCCGAUUUCGUCUUCUGGCCGCCGCGAAAACACACAUAUACAGCCGUACAGGGACUGCCCGCUUGUCGUGUAACCGCCGCGCGCACUUACCCACACACACACACACACACGUGUCGCAUUAUUUGUCCUUCCUCGUGAUCGGGUCGGCCGCGCAACGAUUAUGAAAUAGUACCCGUGUUUACCGUUUUUGUAAGCUCGUUAUUCCGUGUUAUAAUUACCGGACACCCGCAAGGAGCGUAACGUCGGCUUUCGUCGACCGAAUGUCUCCUCUCUGGCGAGCACGCCGUCGGUUUCCGCGUAUAUUAAGCACUCGAUGUCUUUGUUUCGAUUCGCCGUUUUCAGAAAAACCUGAAAUUAAGAUAAUCGAGACGCGAGAGGAACACGCUCAUCUUACUUUCACAUUCCUUCUGGAGAUUCCAGAUUAAAAACACCGGGGCGUUUAGAUUUCAGAUUACGCGAAGAGCCGUGCGAAGGAUUGAAACGUGACGGGGAAGGCGACGACGGGGCACAGGCGUGUGCCAGUUGCGAAAUUAGGUGGCUAAGGACCCAUCCAGGAACAGGUGUAGAUCGGGAGAACGGCGAGAAACCGCGGCGGCAACAACCGAGACCAAAGUCUCCGCUGGGAGAGCAAAGUCUGCAUCAUCGACAGUUCCACGCAGAAACGAGGAAUAACUUAGCCGGGACCAGAGAUAUAUUAUCCGACUGCGAGACACGCUCCGGAUUUUAUAGGGGAAACCAAAAUGGCGGUUCGAGCCGCGCGAAAGCAUCGCGCGCGUAUACAGCCUUCCGACGAGCCUUCUUAUCGUGCAACCGAUCUCUGCAAGUUAAUAAUAAGUAUAAUGAUUGCCAUUCGACGGGAAAGAUAGACGAGAUAAGGCGAAGGUGUUCAUCCGUCCAGGGAGACGUAGUCAAGAAACGACGAAAAAGGAAGAUGAUCGUCGCGGAUGGUCGCGACACGUUUCGAAAUAGGUAGAGGUGGGGAACGUGCGCGUUUUCUGGGUUCACCGGAAAGACCGUCGUCGUGCAUAAUCAACGCACGGAAUACCAAACAGCCGAUUUGGCUGACGAUGCAAGGUCACCCGGGAACAUCGGCUUCGAAACACGCGACCCGUUGCCGACGCUGCUUCGCCUAGGCUCGUCUAUCCAGUCGCCGGAGACUUCGAUCUCCGCUUUCGAUCUGCCGCUCGUCUCAAGACGACGACGACGCCGAUGAAAAAUGCUCGCGAUUCACGGACGUGUUAUUCUUUUUUUUACUUCGGGAGACAUUUUCUCGCCGGGCGAGGGCGGACGAGCUAUAGGCGGAAGAACGAAAGGCGAGCACAGAGGGGAGAAGCAACGUUCUUCGAGGCAGAAACACCUGUCGGACACCUGGUUAAUGUCAAGGGAUCCCACCGAAAACCACGAUCUAGCCGCUGAGCGCAACGGUAGCGCAGGAUGAUCGUUCUAGAACACCGGCGAUUCGGAAUGCAAAAGAAAUAUAUUUGUAAAGAAGAUGUAUCGCGCGCACAAGCGUAAUCGUGGACGCAUUAACGUUAAGUUGCUGUAUAACUUGACCCACUGGCGAUCGUCAGCGGGCAAUUAUAAUAUCUGCCACAGGGGCGUAAGCACGCGUGCACCGUUGAAGAGGGCCUGAAGAAGAAGAAGAAGAAGAAGAAGAAGUCGAAGGAGCGUAAAUCGACGCUGCGUGAAUUGAUCCCGGCGAAUCCGCAGCGCGAGUCACGGUGGCUUACCAGCGACGAACAAAUGGGAAACUUUGGUAAUACGGUUUCGCUAAUACGAAAAAACCGGCACCGAGGGAAGAGCAGAUAGAGGAAGGAACACGGGAGAAGGAAGACGAGAGAGAAGACAGGCUGGUCGCUGACCCGCUCGGAACGUUGACUCCAUGUAGUCAGUCCCCUCUUUAUAUUUCCUUCUAUCCCGCUUGCACCAUCUCCGCCGUGUACCUUCGAUUACAGCCACCAGCCACCAGUUACCUUACCUUACUUUACCUUGCGUUACUUUACCACGUCCGCCUUUCUUUCGCCCGGCCGAUCGCAACCAUUAUAUUCCGGACUUAGCAUCUCUCUGGGAUCUGUCCGUUGCUUUCCCGUCCCUCUCCAUUCUCCAUCCGCAUUCUCGCCGCACGUUUUUCUCGUUGCAACCGACGAGACGCGUUCGCGACGAUCGAGCCGUCAUUCCCAUCUAUGUACUAUUUAUUUCGGAGCUCGGAGAGAGAACCGGAAGCAGACCGGAUUCAAAUCUCGAUCGGCAAAGCGCCGACUUUCUUGGCAACCUCGCCGCGGAUCAUUCGCCUUUCGAAGCUCUAUUUUUUCAUGUAUACCUAACUGUGUACAGAGAGAAGAUCCUAGUCUGGCUCUUGCUCGGGUUCAUUCUCCAAGCUGCGAGAACAAAUACUGCGUAGAAGCGCGCGGCUACGAGACAAUGGGCGACGUUAAUAACGAUAUCGCGAUUUGAUAGAUCGGUAUUAAGCAGCGGAGCCGGGCGAGCAUGUACCGUUAGAAUCGCAAUCGUUCUCACAGCGUCUCCGAGAUCCGAACCCUGGUGAUAACGGUACGGGUUCGUACCUCGGCGAAUUUUCGCUUCGUAGCGAACACCAUUAUUACUAAGACCCAUUUAGUAUAUUAAUCGUCGUCACCCGAGCUUUCCCGUAGAAAUGGAAAAGCGGGAAUGCCCUCGCGAAAAAGCUCGCCUCGCUCCCUCUACCGGCGAACUCUCGUGCGAAUCGAGUUGACAUAGGCAUCGCAAUGGAAGCGCGGAGGUAACGUUGAAACGCAGGCUAUAAAGUAUAGUACGCGCUGCCACCAUUCGUGGUUGACCACCGCCUCUCGAUCGGGUCGGUCUUCCACUCCGCAAACUACCCGACGGGAUCUCGACUCCUCCCGCCGCCGUUGCUCAAUUAUUUCCGUCAUUACGACCGCCCUCUUGAGCCAUGUAUCCCCGGGAGUCACUCCCAACGUACCAACCGAUAUGCUUCUCGCGAAAAACUGGGGAGCACGAUGUUUGUUCUUUUUAUUUCUCGCGACCUGUUCACGGCGACGAACAGCGGCGAAUGUAAAUUGUGCUUCGCAGAAGUUGAUAAUGCAUACCAGAGCGGCUGCUUUUUGUAAGAAGAAUACUCGUUUGCUAGAGCAAGUUGUUCGAAAACGGACAAAGUUCGCACAGAUAUGUUACUGGCGGCAUGUUUAGCGUAGAUGUGUUUGCUGGUCGAUGGAAUUCAUUUUCAACUGGAUCAGGUCGAUUGAUUUUACUGGUUGAAACGGUCGCAGUCGGUAGAAGCUUGGAUGAUAACAUACCGGUAAACGUCGAUUGUAACUCGUGAACGCGUUUCUGAAACGAAUAAAAUAUAUUAGGAUGUCCCAUAAGUUUCUUCCCUUUUUUUGAUGCGAAAUGAAUACACGAUAUUUCUUGUUUAA
Megalopta genalis is the source of this 4665-nucleotide non-coding RNA. The record is from RefSeq and is a predicted model, not a curated record. Lineage: Eukaryota; Metazoa; Arthropoda; Insecta; Hymenoptera; Halictidae.